Molecule: long non-coding RNA, 1227 nt
Organism: Anolis carolinensis (green anole)
Lineage: Eukaryota; Metazoa; Chordata; Lepidosauria; Squamata; Anolidae
Exons: 3
Source: RefSeq, a predicted model, not a curated record
CGCACUUUGGCUCGCGUUCCGCGCUGGAAGCUCCUCCGGCGUCACGUGUGAACCCCCGACCCGCAAGUUUCCCUCAAGUCGGGAAGGGGGCUUUCGACACUCGCUUUUCUAUAUAACACACCAAGCAGCACCAAGCAUCUGCGUUUCCUGGCUUCCCAGUCUUUUUAAAACCCAAGACUCUUCCCAUCUUCUCGAAAACUUCGUUGAGGGCGAAAUGUUCUUCCUGAGAAGCCGGAAAGGAUGUGGGGAAAAGACUGAAAUAGUCGCAGACGAGAUUAAAAUCGCUCUCCGCGCGUCCGUGUGUGUGUGUGUGGGAGUGUGUGGCGGCGUGCUGGGGCGGCUGUGUUAUUUUCCCAGCCCUGAGCCUCGUCUGAGCAGCUCGAUCGAUUCUCAUUGAUUGUCCCUGACGAGCUGCUCCACUUUCCAGCCAAUGUCAGCCUGUCUGCGUUCGGGAAAGAGAGAAAUUAAGGAAAAUCUCUGCCGCCCUGGCGGUGUCAUUUCCACACACUUCAGCUGGCAGGCGGCCAGGUGCCGGGCGAUAGGCAAGAGCCGGGCCGGAAUCUCCUCAGACUUCGGAUCCGGAGCCCACCGGAGGGAAAGGCACCCAAGCGCCAGCCCGGAGCCAAGAGGCCGCUUUAGGGGUUCAAGCCACCCACGAAUAUUGUCAGUUCUCCAGGAAUAGUCAUAUAGGAAUGCCAAGCAGUUGCAGCUUAAUGUUUCAUUUUGAAGCGCACUGAACUAUCCAGAAAAAAAAUAAGAAGAGGCAUCUACACAGAGGGUUAAAUGGUUAGCACAGCAGGUUAAACCGCCAGCUACACAAGAUCUUGCUGACUGGAAGGUUGACAGUUCAAGCCACGGGUGGGGUGAGUUCCCACUGUCAGCCUAGCUUCUGCCUACCUAGCAGUUCAAAAACAGCAUUGUGAGUAAAAAAAAUAGGUACCGCUUUAACGGGGAGGUAAAAAGUGCUCCUAAAAACAUGCCAGAGAUUCAAUCAACGGGCUCCUCAGCGUGGAAGAAUGGAACAACAGCACCUCCCCAGGCUGAAUCAAGCACAACCUCCAGAUGCCAGAAAUGAAAGAGGGCAGCCUACCUCUGUUUAUGUAUUGUCUGUCUCUGUCAAUGGUAUAAUGGCAUUGAAUGUUUGCCAUAUAUGUACCUGUAAUCUGCUCUCAGUACCCUCGGGGAGAUAGAGUGGAAUAUAAAUAAAGUGUAUUAUUAUAUUAUUAA